Molecule: ribosomal RNA, 1515 nt
Filed under: Triticum aestivum (bread wheat)
Lineage: Eukaryota; Viridiplantae; Streptophyta; Magnoliopsida; Poales; Poaceae
Description: partial small subunit ribosomal RNA
Source: RNAcentral
AGCGUCGAUCUCAGCGAUGAUGUUGAUGGGAGGAGCGUCGAUCCCAUAGAUGAUGUUGAUGUGGGGAUCGUCGAUCUCAUUGAUAAUGUUGAUGGGGGAAGCGUCGAUCUCAGCGAUGACGUUGACGAGGGGAGCGUUGAUCUCAUCAGCUAUUUUGAUUUGGGGAGUGCCGAUCACAUCAGCCGCCUCCCCGAUGCCGUCCUCGGCAGCAUCCUCUCUCUUCUCCCCAUCAAAGAAGGCGCCCGCACACAGAUCAUCUCCCGCCGGUGGCGUCCGCUCUGGCGUUCUGCUCCUCUGAACCUUGUAGUGGACUACAAGAACAUUAACUUGGUUCCAAAGAUCCUCUCUGAGCAUCGUGGCCCCGCACGCCGCUUCUCAAUCGAGGAUUGUUACGUCGAAGGCAGGCUUCGUUCUUAUACCCGGAGUAUCUAUGUAGAAGACUGUUAUGAUAAGAUCGAAGGCUGGCUUAGUUCCGCUGCCCUGGACAACCUAGAGGAGUUGGAGCUCACCCCCGAGUUCUCAUAUGGCUACCUGGGGGAGUUGUACCUGCUGCAAUCGUCCACAUACCGCUUCUCAUCCACGCUCCGCGUGGCCAAAUUCCACUGCUGCCAUUUCCCCAACUUAAUUGUGCAGCUGUCCCUGAAGUUUUCGUGCCUCAAGCAACUCACCCUGCGAAAGGUCACCAUCUCGGAGGACCCUCUCCACAGCUUGCUCUCUGGCUGCACUGCCUUUGAAAGCCUUGAGCUGAAGGAAAACAUGGGCACUGGUCGCCUCUGCAUCAUCUCCCAAACUCUUAAGAGUUUAGGCUUUUGCGCUGACUCAAGGGAUGGUGGUCUCUUUUUGCAAGAGUUAGUCAUCAAGGAUGCCCCAUGCCUUGAGAGAUUACUACCACUAAAUCCAAAGGGUGGCACAGCGAGCAUACGGAUAAUCUCGGCACCUAAACUGGAGAUAUUGGGUAUGCUGUCUGAAGACACAUAUGAAUUCCACCUUGGGAGCUCAGUUUUUCAGAAAAUGAUUGCUGUCAAUUUAACAACCAAAAUGCACACCAUGAGGGUUUUGGUUCUCAGCCCUUCCAGCCCUAAGCUGGACGCAGUGGUUAACCUCCUCAAGUGCUUCCCUUGCUUGGAGAGGUUGUAUGUCAUUUUCCAGUCAGGGGAGGGUAUGAAGAAUGUCUGGAAGUAUGACCCAUUUGACCCACUUGAAUGUAUUGAGCUUCAUCUCAAAAAAGUGGUGUUGAAGAAUUAUGACGGCAUCAGAGAUUCAUCUAUCAACUUUGCCAAGUUCUUUGUUCUUAAUGCAAAAGUGUUGAAGGAAAUGAAAAUCACAUUGCCUUACCACCGCCAGCAUGGAUGGGUUGCUAAUCAAUCCAGCCUGCUACGAGUCAGAAAUAGAGCUUCUCGAGAUGCUCGAAUUGAGAUGAGAUGUGGCACUAAAGAUGAUUUCACACACAACAAGCAUACCCAUGACGUGUUAAUGGAUGACCCCUUUGACUUGCCCUACAGAGGAUGCUAUACG